GCUGUAUUUUCAUUUUGAAAAAAAAUAUGGCUUAGUGAGUAACAGAGGGAAGAAGAGAAGUGGAAGGCCUCUCUCAGUUUGUUGCUUAUAUACCAAACAAAGAGUCCUGGAAGCCUGCGCGCGAUCAAUCUUACUCGCCAAAAGGUCUGACAGCUCGGUGCCCUCACAACACAUUUAAGGCUUCUAACUCUCCCCCGGAUCAAAUGCAGCCAGGAAGCUCUGAGAAACACUGGCCACUCAUAUUAGAACCAGUUUCUGCUCGUAGUUUUAGUCUAGUUGUCGCUGGAGGGAUUUUUUAAAAGACAAAUAAGAAGCCAGCCACACAAGAUGCGACCAUUUCCUUUCUGGAGGGCGGUAAUGCGCCAACGAUCCUCCACAAGGGCCCAAGUGACAUUUUUAUUAUUAUGGAUGUACCCACGCAGAUGAGAGGAGGGGAGAGGGCCACCCUUGAGUUUUCCUCACGCUAAAUCAAGCAGAGGAAAGAAGAAAAACGAAUCUAGACGUUUUUUUUAAACCCAACACUAGAUAUUAAAUGUUUUUUUUUUUUUGUUAUUUUUUGUCCGAGAAAAUAUAAUCCAAAUUGAGGAUCUGUUCCUUGUUUUUUUAUGCUUUAUUGGACUUCCAUAAUACUGUUAAUUGUUCAAUUUUACAAUUAGAGUUUUUUUUACCUUCUAGAAUUUUAAGCAUUGAAUAUCUACCAAAGCAAAAAUAUAGGUGUUUGGACAUAUUUUUUCAUUCAGGAAAAUGGCUUGUAAUUGAUUUUUUUUUAUUAUUAUUUAUUUAUUUAUUUUAUUUUAUUUUUUUUGUAGAAUGUUGCUUAGUAUUAAUUAAAACUGAAGAAUGUAUUUCAUUUUAUAUCAGUUCUUUUAUUCAUUCUUCGAACCGGAGCAGCAUGGAAUGUUUGACACUGAAAGAAAAAGUGAUGUGUGUUCUCUUUUCUUCAAUAAAGAAACUGCUAAUAUGUGUCCUUCUUGCACCCUUAUUGCAUGACUGGUUAAUUUUACAUUCGCUGAGAAAAUAAUAAACCUCCUUGAAGAAGAAGAAGAAGAUGAAGAAGAAGAACAAGAAGAAGAAGAAGAAGGGGGGAAAUAGCCUAUAAUGACGACAUAGUUUGCUGCUGCACCCGUCUAGGAGCCUCAGACUACAUGUAUGCACUGAACAGGACCGAGAUGCCUAUUUUCCACCAACCUUCUCCCCACACAAAGAUGGAGGGGCGUCAAAUAAUACUAAGGGGUUCUUUUUUUUUCUUUUGCCCCGAACAAAAUAAAUAACAUUAGAAAGUCCAAUAUGACAAAACAUAAGCAAGGGAGGUUGCAUGUAAGCCUAUGGCCCUUGUUUUUGAAAACAUAUUUCCCUCAGAAAUCCCAACUCGUGGCUCUUGAGGUUUCUUACAAGUGCAACAAAAUGCAAUAACACAAUUCUUCAGCUGUGGAUAAAUAAAAGACGGACACCUUCACAUUGACAAUGAAUAACAUGUUCAUAAUACCCUGUUUGAGAUU
Long non-coding RNA from Melanotaenia boesemani (Boeseman's rainbowfish), 1499 nucleotides. RefSeq lists it as uncharacterized. The record is from RefSeq and is a predicted model, not a curated record. NCBI's taxonomy places the organism in Eukaryota, Metazoa, Chordata, Actinopteri, Atheriniformes, Melanotaeniidae. The transcript has 2 exons.